GAUGAACGCUGGCGGCGUGCCUAAUACAUGCAAGUCGAGCGAACAGACGAGGAGCUUGCUCCUCUGACGUUAGCGGCGGACGGGUGAGUAACACGUGGAUAACCUACCUAUAAGACUGGGAUAACUUCGGGAAACCGGAGCUAAUACCGGAUAAUAUAUCGAACCGCAUGGUUCAAUAGUGAAAGACGGUUUUGCUGUCACUUAUAGAUGGAUCCGCGCCGCAUUAGCUAGUUGGUAAGGUAACGGCUUACCAAGGCAACGAUGCGUAGCCGACCUGGGAGGGUGAUCGGCCACACUGGAACUGAGACACGGUCCAGACUCCUACGGGAGGCAGCAGUAGGGAAUCUUCCGCAAUGGGCGAAAGCCUGACGGAGCAACGCCGCGUGAGUGAUGAAGGUCUUCGGAUCGUAAAACUCUGUUAUUAGGGAAGAACAAAUGUGUAAGUAACUAUGCACGUCUUGACGGUACCUAAUCAGAAAGCCACGGCUAACUACGUG
RNAcentral lists this ribosomal RNA (497 nucleotides) under uncultured bacterium. Its description in RNAcentral is "partial 16S ribosomal RNA". It matches the Rfam family "Bacterial small subunit ribosomal RNA", at positions 28 to 507 of the family's 1533-position model. The record is from RNAcentral.